This 76-nucleotide transfer RNA is filed under the name Planctomycetota bacterium. RNAcentral describes it as "Planctomycetes bacterium (activated sludge metagenome) tRNA-Gly". It matches the Rfam family "tRNA". Rfam says of the family: Transfer RNA (tRNA) molecules are approximately 80 nucleotides in length. Their secondary structure includes four short double-helical elements and three loops (D, anti-codon, and T loops). Lineage: Bacteria; Pseudomonadati; Planctomycetota. The record is from RNAcentral.
GCGCGUGUGGUCUAGUGCCUAAGACGCCUGCUUGCCAGGCAGGAAAUCGCGGGUUGAAGUCCCGCCACGCGCUCCA